AGAUUUAUAAGAUUCAAGUUAAUGAGAAAAAUAGAACAGAUAUUUUAAAAUGUAUGUAGUUGAAACUUUGUCUCAGAAUCAUAUGGUAAUUUUAACACCUUAGAAUCUACAUAUAUUUUCCCGAAUGUAUAUUAACAGACCACCUCCACGACUCCUACCACUAGUCAAGUGUGAUCGAUCACACCGGAAUAAAUGAAAAGAAUUAACUGACAAUUCUGGAUCACUGUUAUCACCUGACAGCCAAUUUAAAAAAAAAAAAACCAAAAUAUCAUAGUGUAAACAUGAAACAACCUUAAAAAGGUCAUUAAUUUUAGUUCUUAGACAAUGGGGUUACUUCACGUUUUUUUGCUUAGCCCCUAGAGCUGUUAUUGGGGACCCCCUGAUGUGUAAUAUAUGGCAUAUUAUUCCUAUAUUAUUUCUAUAUUUUGACGUAAUUUCCAAUUUACGUCAUCAAUCAGGUUAUAACUGACAUUUUAAUGAAUGUGCUAAACACAUAUUGUUGUUGUUUAACACAUUCAAUUACAGCGAAUUUUUCCUUCGAUCAACCUUGCACAAAUUCAUUUAAUUUGAAUUUUAUUAUCGUCAGACUGGUCAUAAUGCAUCGUAUCUCGCGACGCUGCCGUUCACUGUUUGACAUUUAUAUUUUUAUUCUUUCGGUGAUUUUGAUCAUUAUUAACUGUUUUUCUAAAAACAAAACCUUUGUACAUUUAAUUUUUCGAAGCACACUUUUGAUUUUCUAUGAAAAUGCCGAAGCAUUUAAAUAGCCGAUGCAAAGAACUUGUAGCUUCCCUAAUCAGUUAUUUUGAACGAGAACGUGAAAAUAAUGGCCCAUUAUUACUCUUCGUUGCAGUUAGAGAAGUAAAAUUUUAAUCGUACGUAUAAAAGUUUGAAAUUUAAUUUAAUUUUUUGUAAUUUGUAGCGGGUGGCUGAUGCACUUUAUCUAAGGAUGUUCACUGUUAGUGCAAUUUCAAAGACCGUUAAAAGUAUUGAACUGUUGAAAUCACUUAAAAAGAAGAGUUAAAUCUUAUGCUAAGAGGGUUACAAACGUGGAAAAAAACUUUGGAUACGGAGGCGAUUCGUGAGACUAUUUAUGAAAUGUACGAAACUAAGCCAUACGUGACUUUAGCAAUUUUAUAUGUAAAAAUAAGGGAAAAGCAUCUAUUUGAAGGUUGUAAAAAUUCUUUACGAAGUUUGAUAAAGGAAAUAGGCUUUUGAUGUAAAAAAGACGAUUCAAGGAGGGGUCUUAUCGAACUUUCCCACAUGGUUUUUAAACUAAUUGUUUUUUUUGAAAGAAUAUAUGAGAAAGAAAGAAGAAUCAAUUUAUCAAUUUGUUUAUCUUGAUGAAACUUGGAUUUUCCAAAAUGGUACUGUAGGUCGCUCCUGACAGGAUAGUAACAAAAGAAGUGUGAUUUCCACAAAAGUGGAUGGCAAAAGAUACAUAAUAAUUCAUGCUGGUAAUGAACAUGGAUUAAUUGAGGGUGCUGAGGCUAUUUUUUCUUCAAAAACUCAAUUGAUUACCAUGGAGAAAUAAAUUAGCAAAAUUUCUUGAAUUGGUUCGAAAACCAAUUGUUAAAGAAUCUUAUACAGUAUUAUGCAUAAAUAUAUAGCAACAAGCGAUGUUUUCAAAAAUAUUAUUUGCUCCUUUAUUUAUUCCAUAUAAUUUCUUUACUUUUAGGUACACGCCUCUGUAUUAUUUAUAAAUAUACCGAGAUAUCAUAAGAAUGCCAAUGCAAAGUAAGGAACUUCAUGUUUGUUUAUUUCGACAAUGUGCAUAAAUAUAGCAACAUUGUUGUUUCGCAUUUAUUUUAUCAGUUAAAUAUCGAUUUACCUGCUGUAAAGUUGUUAUUUUUGAAUCUCAGAAUUAACUUAAAAUGGGUCGUCUCUGGUGAUGUAAGAAAAAUUAUUCCGGAGCAUUACGAAAAUAGUGUUAAGCAGAGUGACAUUGCAAGAAGCUUACGGCUUCACAGGUCAAUCGUAUCCAGAAUUUGCAAAAAAAUUCGCCUUACUGGAACAGCUGCACCGGCGCCCAUUCCUGGUAGACCCAGAAAAACAAAUUUGAGGAUGGAUAGACAGCUGCUACGAAUUUCCAAAGAAAAUCCUUUUUUGUCUUCUUCCCAAAUUUUGGCAAAAUUAAAAGAGGGUGGAGGAGUAAACCUCAAUUCCAGUACCGUAAGGAGAAGAUUACUUGAUGCCAACUUACCUGCUCGUCGCCCCGCCAAAAAACCGUUACUCUCAAAGAAGAACGUCAAGGCUCGUUUUCACUUUGCCCAAUCUCAUGUCCACUGGUCUGUAGCUGAUUGGAAGAAAGUCGUAUUUAGUGAUGAAUCUAAAUAUAAUUUAUUCAGGACUGAUAAGGUGAUGUACGUCAGACGCCCCAGAGUGAACAAAGAUUAAACAAAAAGUACAUUUGCCCCACAGUUAAACAUGGAGGGGGAAAUAUUCUUGUAUGGGGAUAUUUCUCGGCUCGUGGCAUGGGACCCAUAGUAAGAAUAGUGCGCAAAAUGGAUCGUUUCAUGUACAAAGACAUUUAGUGCCAUAUAUGGAUGAAGUCAUGCCAGUAACAGCCAUAUUUCAGCAUGACAACGAUCCAAAACAUGCUUCUCAAUUUGUUAAGAGGUGGCUAUCCGAUGAAAAAAUAAAUGUAAUGGUCUGGCCAUCUCAAUCGCCAGACCUAAACCCUAUAGAGAAUUUAUGGCAUUACAUUGACACCAAAAUCAGGCACCUAACAUGCUCUAAUACAAAUAUUCUUCUCUUUGAAAUAGUGGAAAAGGCUUGGAAAGAAGUGAACAAUGACUGUAUUAUGAAAUUAAUUGAGUCCAUGCCAAGACGAUGUGCAGAUGUUAUAAAGGAGAAGGGGUACUACACGAAAUAUUGAAUUGAUUUUAAUUUAGUUGGGUUAUAUUUUUUUUAGAAUCAAAAUUUUUUUUGUUACUAUAUUUUUGAAUAACAAAUUUGCAUAAAACAAUUUGGUGUUUUA
This 2977-nucleotide long non-coding RNA is filed under the name Anthonomus grandis grandis. RNAcentral's name for it is "uncharacterized LOC126737859". Lineage: Eukaryota; Metazoa; Arthropoda; Insecta; Coleoptera; Curculionidae. The record is from RNAcentral.